GAUGAGCCGAAGUCGGAUUAGCUAGUUGGUGAGGUAACGGCUCACCAAGGCGACGAUCCGUAGCUGGUCUGAGAGGACGACCAGCCACACUGGGACUGAGACACGGCCCAGACUCCUACGGGAGGCAGCAGUGGGGAAUAUUGGACAAUGGGGGCAACCCUGAUCCAGCGACGCCGCGUGGAGGAUGAAGGCCCUCGGGUCGUAAACUCCUUUUGCAGGGGAAGAAGAAUGUGACGGUACCCUGCGAAUAAGCCCCGGCUAACUACGUGCCAGCAGCCGCGGUAAUACGUAGGGGGCGAGCGUUGUCCGAAGUUACUGGGCGUAAAGCGCGCGUAGGCGGUCAAUUAAGUCUGGGGUGAAAGGUUCAGCGCUCAACGCGAACAGUGCCUUGGAUACUGGUUGACUUGAGUUGGGGAGGGGGAAGUGGAAUUCCGGGUGUAGCGGUGAAAUGCGUAGAUAUCCGGAGGAACACCGAUGGCGAAGGCAGCUUCCUGGCCCACAACUGACGCUGAGGCGCGAAAGCGUGGGGAGCGAACGGGAUUAGAUACCCCGGUAGUCCACGCCGUAAACGAUGAGUGCCAGGUGU
This 586-nucleotide ribosomal RNA is filed under the name uncultured soil bacterium. Its description in RNAcentral is "bacterial SSU rRNA". It matches the Rfam family "Bacterial small subunit ribosomal RNA", at positions 224 to 823 of the family's 1533-position model. The record is from RNAcentral.